CAAUCUCGCAGAUGUGAUCUCGGGGGUCUCCAGACUUUACAAUCGUCCUGACUUUCACCUUGGAACGAAGGAAGAAAGCAGCGUCUUCCCACUUUCCAGGACUUCCACCGCGGCCUCCUCCUCUUGCAUUUUGAUCGCAUCGAUCAUCUCCUGGGUCGUGAUCCCUGUCCAAAGCAAGCUUAUCCAUCAAAGAGCAAACAGGAAAGUUUUUCUCAUCUUCUAGCAAUCAACUUACCGAGAUUACAGUUC
Selaginella moellendorffii is the source of this 249-nucleotide long non-coding RNA. RefSeq lists it as uncharacterized. Lineage: Eukaryota; Viridiplantae; Streptophyta; Lycopodiopsida; Selaginellales; Selaginellaceae. The transcript has 2 exons. The record is from RefSeq and is a predicted model, not a curated record.